RNAcentral lists this microRNA precursor (153 nucleotides) under Mustela putorius furo (domestic ferret). Its description in RNAcentral is "miRNA (ENSMPUG00000023229.1)". The record is from RNAcentral. Lineage: Eukaryota; Metazoa; Chordata; Mammalia; Carnivora; Mustelidae.
AAUGCAAGAUACCCAGUUAGAUUUGAAUUUCAGAUGAACAAGGAGCAAUGUUUUAGUGUAAGUAUGACCCUUGCAAUGUUUGGGACAUACUUAAACUAAAAGGUUAUUUGUUGUUCAUCUGAAAUUCAAAUGUAAAUGGUCAUUCUGUAUUUU